CCUGGCGGCACUAGCGCGGUGGUCCCACCUGACCCCAUGCCGAACUCAGAAGUGAAACGCCGUAGCGCCGAUGGUAGA
RNAcentral lists this ribosomal RNA (78 nucleotides) under Salmonella enterica subsp. enterica serovar Worthington str. BCH-4719. The record is from RNAcentral. Lineage: Bacteria; Pseudomonadati; Pseudomonadota; Gammaproteobacteria; Enterobacterales; Enterobacteriaceae.